CAGUUAGCCGCGUACAAGCAACAUGAAGAAAGUUAUCAACCUAUUCUGACCAGGGCAUCUCGACUACAAGGCCAUCAGACAUCCAGGCAACCUGAAAUCUGUAUCUUUUCUUUCAACCAAGCUAGUCUGCUAAAUGUGUUUAUUCUAGUGUUUUAAGUUAAUUUGAUUGCUUUAGCUCUUGCCGUUUUUACUGCCAGUUCUCUCUGUUUGAAGUUAACUUGAUUGCUAGUUUGCUCUAGCUCUUGCCGUUUCUUUUGUGCCAGUUGUUGUUGUUGUUGUAGACUCUGCUAUUAAGUUAACUGCUAGUGUGCUCUCCUAACUUUGCUAGGUUUGACCCGAUCUAACUCUGUUUUGACUUCCACUAACGAGGGAGUAUUUAACUAGAGGUUGAGUGAAGCGUUAGCUUCAGCGUUUGCAUAGCCUCGCCGUAUGAAGACGAGCUGAAGUAAGGCUAGGGAGUCUUUUGUGGGAGUCAAGACGAGCUGAACAAAGACUAGGGAGUCUUUCGUGGGAGUCAAGACGAGCUGAACAAUGACGAGGGAGUCUUUCGUGGGAGUCAAGACGAGCUGAACAAUGACGAGGGAGUCUUUCGUGGGAGUCAAGAGGAGCUGAACAAAGGCUUUGGGGCGGCUGAAUCUUUUCAGGAGCCACAAAAUCCUGAAAAUCAAAGGCCACAAGAUUCACCUCCAGCUGUCCAGGUACCUCCAAUAAAAUCCAAUUCAUGGACCCUGCUAAGGCCACAAAAUAAUGGGAGCUGCCACGAGACGCCUGCAUCAAGAGUUGGUGACACUGUCCAGUUCCCCCAGAAACAAGGACAUUCAUUC
Molecule: long non-coding RNA, 824 nt
Organism: Gasterosteus aculeatus aculeatus (three-spined stickleback)
Lineage: Eukaryota; Metazoa; Chordata; Actinopteri; Perciformes; Gasterosteidae
Source: Ensembl